GACGAACGCUGGCGGCGUGCUUAACACAUGCAAGUCGAACGGAAAGGCCCAGCUUGCUGGGUGCUCGAGUGGCGAACGGGUGAGUAACACGUGGGUGAUCUGCCCCUAACUUCGGGAUAAGCUUGGGAAACUGGGUCUAAUACCGGAUAGGACAAUCGUUUAGUGUCGGUUGUGGAAAGUUUUUUCGGUUAGGGAUGAGCCCGCGGCCUAUCAGCUUGUUGGUGGGGUAAUGGCCUACCAAGGCGUCGACGGGUAGCCGGCCUGAGAGGGUGGACGGCCACAUUGGGACUGAGAUACGGCCCAGACUCCUACGGGAGGCAGCAGUGGGGAAUAUUGCACAAUGGGCGCAAGCCUGAUGCAGUGACGCCGCGUGGGGGAUGACGGCCUUCGGGUUGUAAACCUCUUUCGACAGGGACGAAGCUUUGGUGACGGUACCUGUAUAAGAAGCACCGGCUAACUACGUGCCAGCCGCCGCCGUAACAC
Molecule: ribosomal RNA, 483 nt
Filed under: uncultured bacterium
Lineage: Bacteria
Description: bacterial SSU rRNA
Rfam family: Bacterial small subunit ribosomal RNA
Source: RNAcentral